This 1248-nucleotide ribosomal RNA is filed under the name Triticum aestivum (bread wheat). RNAcentral's name for it is "partial small subunit ribosomal RNA". The record is from RNAcentral. Lineage: Eukaryota; Viridiplantae; Streptophyta; Magnoliopsida; Poales; Poaceae.
AUGCUGUUUGCCAACAGUACCUGUAAAUCUCUAGUUUUCUGUAGAUACUUGUGCUUCCUAUUUGUAGUAGUAAGUUUCUACCUCUUUGUCCACAUUAGUAUGCCCAGGAAAGAGCGGCGGUCAGGUGUGGCAUACAUCCAUAAUGACAAAGACCGUGAUCUCACCUUCUACAAGCGACGUUCCGGUUUGUUCAAGAGGGCGACUGACAUCUCUGCCCUCACUAGGGCUAGGGUUGCAGUCGUCCUAGAGACAAAUAAUGGAAAGAUGCACUCAUUUGGGACGCCAUUGGCCGAUCCCAUUGUUGAUGCUUUCCUAUUUGGAGCUCCACCAGCAGUUCCCUCCGCCAAUGAGGCAACCACUACUAGGAUUGGAAGCCUACAAAACGAGGUGGCUCAGUUGGACAUGGAGAACAUGACUGAGGAAGACCGAAACCAACUUUCCAUCCUUCGUAUGAAAAGUAUCCAAGAAGAGAAUCCAAGUAUGGUGGCAAAUCUUAUCUUCACGAAGGAACAAGAUCUCGGUCUUGAAGAUCUAAAUAACCUCUUAAGUGAGCUCUCUCGGGUCCAAAAAGACAUUAGAUGCCGGCUACCUCCAUUGCAUGGUCGUGAAGCCAAGACCAGUGCCACAUGUGUGGCACAAGAUCUGCAACUACCAAGUGUUCUGCCGACGGAUCAUUUGGGUACUACUCAUUCACUAAUGCAGUCAUCGUGGCCUCACAAUCUGUCACAACUCCAGCCACCUGCAGAUCCACUACCAUCACAACCAGAACAAACUUCGGCACCACUUUUUCCUAUGCAGGUACCACAAAUGUUUGAUUUUGCACCACCAUCUUUAGCUCCACACUUGGCUUCCCAUGUCCAACCCAUACCAAAUCAGGUACAUGAGCAAACUCAACCAGAGGAGUUGGAUGUUCAGAACUAUGAAAGUCCUUGCAACAUAGUGCAACCAGAACAAAGUGAUGCAACCCACGACUCAACAUCGGGGCAAAAUUUGGAGGCCUCUCCACUAUUGGGGUACUCGAGUGGCAAUGCUUUUUCUAUUGAUGACCCAUUUAACAGUGAACAAUGGGAUUAUGCUCUAUCAGAUCAGUCGUUCUACAAUAGUUUCCUAGGGAUUGAUGAUUACUUAGGCUCUAGCGGUACCGAUCUAGGACAGUCUUCCAUGGUAAAUGGUGGAUGGUUUGAUGUGCCGCCCUCUUCCACUGGACAAGCUAUUGAUGGUCUUAUAGACCCUGGAGAGCUUUCGUAG